This 117-nucleotide non-coding RNA is filed under the name Nomascus leucogenys (northern white-cheeked gibbon). The record is from Rfam by way of RNAcentral. Lineage: Eukaryota; Metazoa; Chordata; Mammalia; Primates; Hylobatidae.
GCUGGGCGUGGUGGCUCACGCCUGUAAUCCCAACACUCUGGGAGGCUGAGGCGGGUGGAUCACCUGAGGUCAGGAGUUUGUGACCAGCCUGGCCAACAUGGUGAAACCCCAUCUCUA